AUUGAACGCUGGCGGCAUGCCUUACACAUGCAAGUCGAACGGCAGCACGGGGGCAACCCUGGUGGCGAGUGGCGGACGGGUGAGUAAUGCAUCGGAACGUGCCCUGAAGUGGGGGAUAACGCAGCGAAAGCUACGCUAAUACCGCAUAUUCUGUGAGCAGGAAAGCAGGGGAUCGCAAGACCUUGCGCUUUGGGAGCGGCCGAUGUCGGAUUAGCUAGUUGGUGGGUAAAGGCCUACCAAGGCGACGAUCCGUAGCGGGUCUGAGAGGAUGAUCCGCCACACUGGGACUGAGACACGGCCCAGACUCCUACGGGAGGCAGCAGUGGGGAAUUUUGGACAAUGGCGAAAGCCUGAUCCAGCCAUGCCGCGUGAGUGAAGAAGGCCUUC
Molecule: ribosomal RNA, 387 nt
Filed under: uncultured bacterium
Lineage: Bacteria
Description: bacterial SSU rRNA
Rfam family: Bacterial small subunit ribosomal RNA
Source: RNAcentral